Molecule: ribosomal RNA, 505 nt
Filed under: uncultured bacterium
Lineage: Bacteria
Description: bacterial SSU rRNA
Rfam family: Bacterial small subunit ribosomal RNA
Source: RNAcentral
AGUGAACGCUGGCGGCAGGCCUAACACAUGCAAGUCGAGCGGCAGCGCAGCAGUAGCAAUACUGUGGGCGGCGAGCGGCGGACGGGUGAGGAAUACAUCGGAAUCUACCUUCUUGUGGGGGAUAACGUAGGGAAACUUACGCUAAUACCGCAUAAGACCUGAGGGUGAAAGCGGGGGACCGCAAGGCCUCGCGCGAGAAGAUGAGCCGAUGUCGGAUUAGCUAGUUGGUGGGGUAAAGGCUCACCAAGGCGACGAUCCGUAGCUGGUCUGAGAGGAUGAUCAGCCACACUGGAACUGAGACACGGUCCAGACUCCUACGGGAGGCAGCAGUGGGGAAUAUUGGACAAUGGCGCAAGCCUGAUCCAGCCAUGCCGCGUGUGUGAAGAAGGCCUCGGGUUGUAAAGCACUUUUGUUGGGGAAGAAAAGAUCUGGGUUAAUAACCGGUUCAUGACGGUACCAAGAAUAAGCACCGACUAACUCGUGCCAGCAGCCGCGGUAAUACGAA